This 43995-nucleotide long non-coding RNA is filed under the name Marmota monax (woodchuck). The stretch from base 8149 to 8220 matches the Rfam family "tRNA". The record is from RNAcentral. Lineage: Eukaryota; Metazoa; Chordata; Mammalia; Rodentia; Sciuridae.
AACCCUCUGCCUUCUGCCCUUUUUCUAAUUAUAAUAGUCUCUGGAAAGUGGCUGUCCAAAUCAGUUCUUACAACGCCGGAAUCCGAGCAAGCUUUGAGACGCUGUGGUCGUUUGUCUUGUUGCGGCCGACUUGGAGCACUACUUCAUCAGAUCACAGAAGACCUGCGACUGCUGUGUAGGCCUCUGCAGAGCAAAUGAUCGGAGCAGGAUGGAUGGGACUAUAGUGAGGAAAUUCUGAAGUUCAUAGUUUAAAUUCCUGUAAAUUCUUAAAAUCACAAAUUUUAAGGAAUUGGGGAGUAUUUCAAGGGCAGGAAACAUUAGCUUUUUGUGUGUGUGUGUGUGUGUGUGUGUGUCACUCAGAACGUUGUACUGUGCAAAGGAAGUGGAACAAGGUCCAGGCAAUAAACUGAGUAAGGAAGUCCUGUGUGAGCCUGCAACGACGUGAGCACAGAACACCCGGAGGCAGUUUCCUUCUCUUUCCAAGGUCACCUCUUCUUCAGGUACUUGAAACUGUGAUCUCUAACCACACUCCUUAAGUGGGGGUUUUAACUGCAUCUGUCCCACGUCUGAGAUCACAUUUGUACCUCUGUCAUCGUCCUGGAAAUUUCCGUUCCAGCGAUCGAUUACCACGUGUUUUGUUUUAUUCCUCCAUCGGGCUUCAGUUUUGAAUUCCACAAAUCCUGAUUCAACCUCAACCUAAUGAAAGAAGGUGCCACACCUUUCUUAGUUGCUACUCUGGAUAGUGAAGGCUUUAAGGCUUUUAGCAAUAGAGGCAGGGCAGAGGAGGCAAAGUGGGCAGAUGAUUGGCCAAAAAAACCAGCUUUUGGCUACCCUACCCCAGGGGUCUGAAAGUGACCCUAGGAAAGAGCCCUCCACAAGCUGAACUCUCCGACAGUCCCUGCGGCCCAUCAGUGAGUCACUGCCAUGAGGAGGGCAAGAGUAUGCUCUGAUUGUCCCACCCAGGGCCACGGAGCAGCAAUCCCGCUGGAGCAAUCUUGGUUCUACUGGAAGAUGACUCUGCCAUGAGUGACAGCCCCAGACCCGAGGAGCUCCAGGAGUCGAGAUCGCGUCACCCUCCACAUAGCAGGUAGGAGAACAAAACUAUUUAUCGGCACCGGCACCGGCACCGGAGCUGCCUGCUCUGUCCUGACUCAGCCAGGAGUGCUCCAUGACAGGAGUGUAUGGUAGAUUCAAAGUGAGACACUUCACUUUUCCUCUCACUUGCAGAAUUGGCUCUCAAACUAUCUCCCAUUCCUUUCUCUAUGUCCCAGAAUGUCCCAUCCCUCUGUUACUAAGGGACCUAUUGACAAAGUUAGGAACAAGUACCUCAAUGGCCUGAAAUCAAAUUUAGGGAGAAGUGCCCUUAGAACAAGACAUUCAUUCACUAGCCUUUUAUUUACUUUUUAAGUAUCAUAUAUUUAUUACUGGACCCACCAAACCCAGUACCUCAGUGCCUUCAUCUCUCAAGAAAGAUCAGAUUCCCAGUUAAAUAUGCCCAGACAGCUUGGCACGGUCAGCUGAACAUGACCCUGACUGAGCACAAGUCUGUGUCAUCUCCUGUAAUUCCUUAUAGAUCACUUGGUUCUCCUCCAAUGUCACUUGGAGGAGAGUGCUUUGUGUAAAGGUUUUCUAUCCAGCCAUAACUGGGAAUCCAUAGCUGACGGCUAUUUCAUGACUGACUUUCUUACUGUGUUUCAUCCAAAUUCAUUGGGGAAAUGGGACAGUUCUGCUUCUGUAAAUGCCCCAGGAUUCAAUCCCUGACAUUCCUGUAAGAUGUGGAAAGAAGUGGCAUGAGCCACAGUGGCAAGAAGUGCUGAGAGCCAUAGCCGAGUCCGAAUGACGCAUGGCAUUUUUGCCAGAACGGAGUGGUUGAGAGGUGGCCAGUGAGCCAUUGAGAAGAUGAUGGUUAUGUUAAGCUGUGUAUAUUAGACCCCUGCUGUCCACCUCGGCCUGCUACUUUGGAGUUCUUACGGGGAUUCCCCGAGAGUUCCCAUUGGUGGGGGAAGUGCCGGAGGAGGGAUUUCCGGUUGGUGGUUCCUGGAGGAGCCGUGUGUGUGGCGUUCAGGAGAGUUCCUGGGGAGUGUGUGUGGAGUGUGCUGGUGGAGUUCAGAAAUAAAGUUUGUUCCUGCUUGAGUGGCUCGUGAUUUGUGCCCAGCCAGACUGCCGCAAAGAAGAGGUGAAGCUGCUUGCCCUUUUAAAUAAGAAGAGAGCCCUCAGAGUCUCCAUGCCUUUAAAUGGGGGAACCCCAAAAGUUGAGAGGCCCUAAUUUGUACACCAUUAUUGAUAUAAGGUUUUCCCUAAAAGGCCCAGAAACCUCUUCAAAGGGUCCAGUAUUAGGGAUUUGUCCACACCCCAGGAGCCUUUAGGUUGGCCCUGAGUGACUGCCUCACUGUCCAGGCCUGAGUCUAAAAGACAGCUCUGUGGAUUUCUGGGCAUGAAAUAUCCGUCAGCUAUGGACUCCCAGUUAUGGCUGGAUAGAGAACCUUUACACAAGGCACUAAAGGGAGAGGACAAAGGAACUUUCCCCCAGACUGAAGGGCACGUGACCUAUUAAAGACUGAGCUGGGUCGUGCUCAAGCUGGGCCUUCCCAACCUAGAAACUCUAUACACACAAAGGCUGGAUUUAGUUUAAAGGUUCCAAUUCAAACAUUAGACCUGCUUCAAGGGCAGUUUCCUACUUCUCCAAACACUAGAUCUAGUGGUCGAGUUGUUUGAAAGCAGAGGCUACACCUGGUUUGUGGUCAACAAGGCCUCCUAAUCAACCUUGGGACAACAUAAGAAGGUUCACCACCCCAAGUCCAGGCAGUUUGGGAAGUCAAGGUCAUCUCUAACUCAUGGAGGGAAGACCAACAAGAAGUCAGGCCCUCCCGGCCAGGCAAGGUGGCCAGGCCUGUAAUCCCAGCUGCUGAGGCGGGAGGCUCAAGGGUUCUCAGGCAGCCUCAGAAACUUAGUGAGGCCCUAAGCAACUUAGCAAGACCCUGUCUCAAAAUACAAAAUAAAAAAGGCUAGGGAUGUGGCUCACUGGUUAAGUGCUCCAGGAUUCGAUCCCUGAUACAAAAAAAAGAAAUCAGGCCCUCCUGUUAGAUAGUCCUGUAUAGGCAUUAUAGAACAAACUUACUCCAGCCAGUAAGACCUUAGUAAGUCUGAGGAUGAUGGUUCACCGAUGGAGGCAGUUUUGUAGAAAAGGGCAUCCGAGAAACUGGACACAGAGUGGGAAGUGGCUAUGAUACCACAGAAGCAAAUGCCUGUCUCUAACACCUCUGCCCAAAGCACAGCUCAUUGCCCUUAUCUGGAGCCCUACAAUUAAAAUAAGGAAGAAUCUUAAAUAUCUACACAUUCCAAAUAUGGAUUUCAAGUACUCCAUGCCCAGUGGCUAUCUAGAGAGAAAGAAGGGUGUUAACAACUUGAAAUUUCCAGAUAAAGUAUAGAGACCUAUUAUUAAAGUUUUGAGGCAGUGUGACUUCCUAAAUAGAGGGCAGUAAUUCACUGUGAGGGACACCAAUGGGAUGGAUCCCCAGUAAGCCAAGAUAAUAAUAUGGUAGAUAAGACUGCAAAGUUUGUGUCCAAUCCCCUGGCUCCCCCAGAGAAUCCUACACAGCUGCAUAAACUUAUGGCCCUAGUCCCAGAUUCUUCUAAUCAAAAUGCCUAAGAACCCCUCCACAGAAACACAAAAUGGAAUAAAUGGGUAUACUAUGCUAAUGAGACAGGAUGGCUCACAGAUGGGGAGAAGACUGUUAUUCCUGAGGCUUAUCAGUGGAAUGUUAGUAAACAUCCACAUGAGGGCACCUAUUAUCCAAAGGACACCCUUUGGGAACUGACAAGGGCUAUUCUUACUGGAAAGGGAUUUCAUAAGACUAUCAGUAGGUUUUACAAAGCUGUGAAAUUUGGUAACAAGACAACCCAAUUUUUAAAAUUUGUCUAGUAGCAGUACAUCUAUCUAUGGGAAGAUUGGCAAUUGGAAUUUACCCAAAUGCCCUAAAAAUAUGGAUAUAAAUAUUCACUUACAUUUAUAGGAUGGACAGAAGCCUUCUCCACUGAAACAGAGAAAGCCAUUGGAGUAUAUAAAUGUCUUUUAAAAGAAAUUAUGCAAGCCAAGAACAGUGGCACACACCUAUAAUCCCAGGGACUCAAGAGGCUGAGGCAGGAGGAUUGUGAGCUCAAAAUCAGCCUCAGCAACUUAGCAAGGCCUUGUCUCAAAUUAAAAAAAAAAAAACAAAAAAAACAUUAAAAGGGCUGAGGAUAUGGCUCAGUUGUUAAGCGCCCCUGGGUCCAAUCCCUAGUAAGAAAGAGAGAGAGAGAGAGAGAGAGAGAGAAAUUAUUCCACAAUUCAGGCUCCCAGAGUUCUUCCAAAGUGAUGAUGGUCUUCCUUUGUUAUAAAUAAAACAACUACAACAACAAAAAAUCCUCUCUAUUGCCCUUAGAUUAUAUCCUUAAAUUUUAGCUAAGCUGCAUUCAGCUUGGCAUCCCCAAUCUAAAGGAGCCUUGGAUAAAGCUAUUUCCCAAUGCCCUUUUCAGAACUGUGCUGCCUCAAAAAGCUAUUCAAAACUUCUAAGCCCCCUGUAGAUGCCAAAUUGACAACGCUUCUUAAUUGCCACCUUUUGGUUUGAUGAAAAUACAUGCCACUCCUCACACUAUGUCAUUAACCUGGGUAAACACGGUGGGCUCUCCUAUAGUUUGGAAACAGAAUUUUCCUGGACUGACACAAAACCCUGCUGUCCUUCCAAGAGUGCAGGAGGAGAUAGGAUUAUGCUCAAAACAUGGAGAGAGGGUUCACCAGAGGACCCCAACUUCAGCCCAAAUGGAAAGGACCUUAUCAGGUUAUACUCACCACCAACCUUACUGUAAUGUACAGAAAAUCCCCAGGUGAGUCCCCUUACUAAGAUUAAAAUUUGUUUCCACCUAAUCUCUCAUACGAUUCUUCAGAUUUACAUAAAUACACUCCUGAGCCCGUAGAGGACCUCAAGUACCUACUCAAGAAAGUGAAUACACAAGAAAUGGGGUGAUGGUAUCUUGCAGGAGGCUUAUUUGUUAAUGUCAUUAAAAUUAAUAGGGAUACAGGCAAGGAACCUCCGCUGCCCACUUCGUCCCUUUAGAUCAUGUAGUGAAAGAUCUUUGUAACCUCUAAGAUAAGAAGGAACAACCUCCCUGUAUCGGCAGGAAGAAGCUAUAGAAGAUAAGAGACCUUAGUUCCUUUACAAUAGGAAACAAUAAGGAGGGUAAAAUCUCUCCUGGGAAAAUGAGAUAGUAGGGACAAAGGGAAGAUGCACUCCUGGGUUUUGGCUCAUAGCAUGUUGGGCAGAUCCAAGAUGGGUAUAGUUAGGUCUCCUCGAUGGGGUUUCCAGUGGGCUAUGUUUGCAGUAUGUAGCCAAGGUCAUGGACACCCUGAUUCAGGGUGUGUACUCAAGGUCACUGCAUUGCUUGUGAGCAUGCACUCACUUGCGUAACCUGUUGGCAGUGUGCCGUCUUUGUCUGACCUGCACAUAAAACUGCCUACAGAAAUGGUUCAAGGGUCUGGCUGGGUGUGGAACUGGAGGCUGGGCUGCUGCCCGCUCCAAGUAAAGCAUGUCUGCUCCCAGCCUCACUGCACGUCUUCCUUCACCUGCUGAGAUCCGAAUCUCUUUUGUUGGGUCUGAGCCCCACACAGCAGCCUGACAGCCAUUACAAGGUCCCACCUUAUCUUACAGUCCGUCAGAUAGGAUUAUCAAUAGUAUAUCAGAUAUAAGUGUGUAGGCACACACCAAGCAAAGCCAGAGAAAUGAUAACCAAUGGCCAGAUUCAAAGAGGUUAGGAAAGGCUUUAAAAUUCCUGGCUCAGAGAAGUCUGAAAUUUCAUCAACCCCUUGAGCCUACUGGGACCUGCCCAAGGCCAUGGGAUGUGCCGCCUGUGACUGCUAGGGGGGUGCUGUGCAGCAGGUGACCUCAGGUGUGCCUGGGGAACCAGAGAGUCUUGAUACCUGGGAAUGCGGAUGCCGAUUCAGAAAUUGGGAGCUCCAAACAGUGUUUAGGGAGAUGGUUGGACCGGGACCAUCUCAGGGACAGGUCUGCUGGGUGCACUGAGACGCACGGUGGGCUGUACAACUCCAUCUCUGCAGACAUCCCGGGGCAGAGAGCUGGGGGCACCUCCCAUGGAACAUGAAGCACAACUAUGCAGCACCUAUUGGAAAGGUGCUAGAGGGCUGCUGGUCGAUGGUUCCGACUUGGAUAGGGACCACCAAGCACAGCGCACGCUCUGUGACAGUGGUUCCCCAUGCACAGUGUUUGCUCUUUACACAAUUUCAUGUGAGAAUCCCCGGCAGACUAUAACUACUGACUCUGCCUUUCAGUCUGAGGAGUCCAGGGCUGGCAUGGGAGCUCUUUGCAUAAAGUCUAGGGAACACAGAUCAUUUCUCUGCCAGAAAAGCAAUUGGAGUGAUUCAAGGAGCUCUCAGUCAGAGGAACACAGCAGGCUCUCUGAGGAGAGGCACUCCUUUAAUUCCGUGCACUUGCCCAUGGAGUCGCCUUCCCCUCCUGGCCAGCAGGACCCAGGCUUUCUGUCCUGUCCUGUCCUGCUGUGGCUCCUCAGCACCUGCCUUGAAGACUGAUGACACUCACCAUUCUGCUUCCCCCCUAUGCAGUGAUGCCGUCUGAUCCUGGGGAGGAAAUGACAGACCAGUAAUCCGCACAGUCUCCCAGAUCUAAUCAGAUCAAAACCUGUCCCUGUAGCAAAGCAGGGUUUUCCAGAAGCACUUGCUCAGGUCCCUGCCGGUAUUUGGUUCCCCCUGGCCCCAUGUGUCUCUCACCACCACCCACCAACAAUUCCCCUGUUUGUCUCCUUCCUCCUCUCACCCCCAACCUGGCCAUAACCCUAACCUUUCAAAUGAUUUUUUUACUGAGAAGAGAGAAUGAAUCCCAAUGUAGCUGUAGCUGUCCACAUUUCAUGGGGAAGUCAGUGAUAACAGGCCACGAGGCUGCAGGGAGGAGGGAUUCUGCGUGUGAUCCUACUGGAUGCAGAUCGCCCAGAAUCCAAACCUGUGCGUGAACUGCAUCAGUCUGGGGCUCAGGACACCGCAGCUAAGGUCAGAGCAGUGGCAAAGCCCUUCUUGAAAGGAUCUGCCUGCCCACUUGGCCAGUGGGCCCAAAGGCAGACAGGCUCCGAGUUUCUCUGAGUUACUGAGUCCCAACCAUUACUUUAAUUAGGUAUUAAAAUUGCAAAAACUGAAGGUUUGGCAAUUUGGAUUGGAGUCUAUUCUGAUUUGCUGAAUAAAGCCUCCCGAGAAUUUUCUAUGGGAAAGUGCUUACAUUAGAACAAGGGGAACAUCUAGCACAGCCUGGUCGAAAAUGUGUUUGGGGUAAAAUAUCUUUGAUUAUAAGUCAUAUAACCUAUGACAGUAGGUUUGGAAAAUAAAUGGGAGAGAGACACUCAUGAUCCCAGCACUGUGACACAAUGCUUGUGGGUUUUGUCAUUCCUCUUUUACCCCGGAUUUGCAAAAGUAAGUCAUCCUCCUCAUUCUGUUGUGGCAGACUUGCCGUUUGAUUUUCCCAACCUUGGGGCAUGAUCAGCUUCCCACCCCACCUGUAUCUCUACACAACUGCCAUUUUAAUGGGACUUGUCCCAAACUUCGUCGGGCUUUUGCUGCUUACAAGUUUUGCCCUUUGACAUAAUGCUAUGAUGAACAUCUUGCUCCAUAUAUCUUGGUCAAUAAUUUGUAUUAAUGAUUUGAUGGAACUGAAGAAAAUUUGGGUUCUUAUCAUUAUGACGUGUGGAGGCAAUUUAUUAAGAGGAGAAAAUGAUGUCUCAAAUGACAGUAAAUAAAAUAAAAGCCCUCAGGGUGCUUAAUCCUAUAAGAUAGCAAAACUUCAUUAAUUUAGAUCAACUGUGGGAAGAUAGGGCUAAUUAGUACAUUUAAUUUAAAUGCUGUUUAUUCUUUUUAAUUACAUAUAAAUGCAGUUUGUUAAUUUUUCCAAACAGAAAUCCUUCAAGGUUUGCAAGUGCUGUUUAAUUCGUAAUCAUUUAUUAUUUUAAGCUGACUGGAAAUGGAAGCUGUAAAGUACUUACAAAGCAGUUGUUUUAAUCAAGUAGCAAUGUGAUUUUUUAUUUAAAGUAAUUGACAGAGAUAGACUAUAUUCAAGAUGUACAAUAUGUUGGUUCAAUAUGUGUUGACAGUUGGGCUGGGGUGUGGCUCAGCAGUAGAGCACUUGCCUAGCAUGUGUGAGGCCCUGGGUUCAAUCUUCAGCACCACAAUAAAGAUAUUGUGUCCAACUACAACUAAAAAAUAAAUAUUAAGAAGUAUAUGUUGACGGUGAUUACCACAGAUUAGUAUCCUGGUGAUUGGAUCCUGGAACUCUUUCAUCUUACAAGGGGAAGUCUGUGUCCUUUGACCAAAAUACCCCAUUUCCUCACCCCUGCUCCUUGGCAAGUACUGUUCUGUGCUAGCUUCUAUAAAUUUUACUUUGUUUUUAAUAUUUUUACUGGUAUAUCAUAAUUAUAUGUUAUAGCAGGAUUCAUUGUUACCUAUUCAUACAUGAGACUGGAGAACAAUAUAAUCUGGUCAAUUUGGGUUUGACUUUGUCAGAUAUCACAUGUGUGUGAGAUGAUGCAGAAUUUGUCUUCCUGUGUCUGCUUUCUUCACUUAGCAUAAUGUCCUCCAGUUUCACCCAUACUGUCACCAAUGGCAGGAUAAUAUUCCCUAUGUGAAUCACAAUGUCUUCAUCUGCCACCCACUGCCGAACAUUUCAGUGUUUCCGUGUCUUGACUAUUGUGAAUCAUGCUGCAGUGAACAUGGGUGGUGGUGAUUUCAUUUCCUUUGGAAUCAUAUCCAAAAGUGGGAUUGCUGGACCACAGGGUAAUUCUAUUUCUAAUUUUUUGAGGAACCUUCACAUUGUUCUCCAUGAUUGUUCUCGUCUACAUUCCCACCAACAGUGUGCAAGGGUUUCCUCAUGGGUGUGAGUGAUUAGCGAGGCGAGUUAAGAUCUGGAAAGCAUACGACAGGUAAUAAAUGCCAUAGUCUGGGAAGGAGUGGGUUUCAGUGAGGCACCAGGAGAAGUUUUCUGAGGAGAAGGCCCGCACUCCUUCCGCAUUCUGCGGUCCAGAUGACUUGACCUCCUCCCCAGUGACACAUGAGGCUUUCUUCCCUGUAGCUGUAAUGCUGGCUCAGGGGUGGUGAGCAUCAGCAGGAGGGAGGGACUAAAGGCCCAAGCAGUGCCAGCAUACAGGAGGUGCUUAAUAAGUAGCUAUUGAAUCAAGUCUUCCUUUUGGAUGAGUUAAUGAUCAUUUAAUCGAGUAGGGAGACUGAAGGCUCAUCUUGUGUGCCAACGUAGUCAGGCCAUAGUACACAGUCAUUUAAUUAAGCACUAACCAAAAGUUGCUGUGAAGGAAUUUUGUAGAUGUGGCCAUAGUCCAGUUGACCUUCUGCAAAGCACAUUAUCCUAAGUAACAUGGUUCAAGUCAGUGGAAAGCCAAAGAGCAAAACUGAAAUUUCCAGUAAAAAAAAGGAACUUUUGCUUCAUGAUGGUAGCAUCAACUCCUGACUGAGCUGAUGCCCACUGACUGCAGACCUGGCAGCCCUGAGAAUUGUGUAAGCCAACCCCUUACGAAAGUCUUUCUGUGUGUCCUACUCCCUGGAGAAAUGCGGCUAGCAUUCAAGUUCUUGACUCUCUCCAAUGGCUCUCAGAAGUCAAGUCCUCCAGGUAGGCAAUUAAAAAAACAAACAAACAAACAAAAAUCCAAAACCAAAGACACAAAAACCUUUCCUUAGCAACUUGAAUCAGCUCGAGAGGAAAUUGCCCAGAUACAGACACUGGCACCAGAAGUUUCCAACUACAAAGCUCAGUGGUCACCCCACCUGUGCCAUAUACUCACCAAACACAUCCAAUCCUCAGAGAUCCAGAGAUCUUCUUAGUCCCUGAUACUCAAAUCUGAGGAUCAACAGACAUCUAGGGAACUCUGAUAUGGAAGAGACUAAACAGAGAGGAGACUACAAUACAGGGGAGCAAGCUUCUAUAGGAAGAAGAAAACUUCCAAAAUGCUAUUGUCAAUUUUCUUAGAGAAAGAAGGAUAAGCAUUUUAUUUAUGAGACUAAGAAUAUUAUUUUUCAAAAAAGAAACAGUCACAGAAUGAACGAAAGAACUCUUGGCUACUAAAAUAUGAGGGCAAAAUUGAAGACUCAAAUUGGAAGACUAAGGUGAGAAAAUAUGCAGAAAAUAGAACAAUAAGAAAAAUAUGGAAAAGAGGACAGAAAAGAAAAUGGAGAAUAAGUUCAGGAAGCCUAAUAUCUAAAACAUAUAUGAAAAUAAUAUUUAGAAUAGAGGAAAUCAUCAAAGUAAUUCAAGAAAAUUUCUGAGAAGUAAAUGAAUUUCCUGAUAGGAGGGUCCACGGAAUACUCAUGAAUACCUGUGAAGAGCAGGAUAGAAGUUCAGAACAGCAGAGACAAAGGAAAAAUCCCACAAAUGUCCAGAAAGAGAAGACAAGUGCAUCCAUCAAUAGGCAUGAGGAUUCCCUUGAGGGAAUUGCUUUACGAAAAGCAACAGCAAAGCUAAAGAUAGUGGGGCUCAAAUUUUCAUUAUUCAGAAGGAAAAUAAUUUUUCUGCUUAGAGGUCUUCACCUAGUCAACCACCAGCCAUGUAUCAGAGAAGAUCAAAGGCAUUUAGAUAAGAAGGACCAAGUAAUUAACUCCCAUACUCCCUUCCUCAGACCCAAACCAGGCAUCAGAUCAAGAAACUAAAGAUGUCACAGGAAAUAAGUUCUCCCACACUCAAGAGAGAUGAUGGGAGUGUACAUUUUGCUGGUUCAGGGCAAUCCUGGAAUGCUGGCUUCUCCUGUGGUCUGCAGGUGACCAUCAAGUGAAGCAAGGGGAAGGACCUCAGAGAGAUAUCCUGGGGACAGUGAACUCUGUGAUUCCAAAUGUCUCGAGAUUGAAUAUAUAAUAAAAGCAUGAAAACAAAGCAAAUGAGACAAGCAUGAAGUUCAGGAAAAACAAAGUUAUGCAGUAAAUUCAUGGCUCAGCUGUGAAUAAUCUUAUUCGUAAUAAUGUAAACAUUGAACACUGACCUAAACAAAACUGUGAUAGAACAUCUGGAAGGUGCUUGAAUGUGAUGGGGUGGGUCGGGAGACCAGCAGGGGGAAAGAGCAACAGAGCCUCAUGUCCAUCUCAAGUAAACAGAGAAUGCCUGCCCCGAGAGAUGGAGCGUGCUGGUCGAAAUUGAGCAUGGUCCUUGGAAACAGAGAAACAUUCUUAGAUGAUCAGUGAAGACAAAGCGGUAGCUUCCUCCCAGGGGAUUAAGAAAUAAAGAGCUGGGGAUGAUUGUUUUUUGAUAUUAUGUUCAUAAAAACAUUUAAAUUUUCAAACUACAUACAUAUAAAAUUUUAAAUAAUGACUAAAAACUAAAACAAAAAAUAAUAACAACUGUCAAGAUUUAGCUCAGCCUAUGUUCAAAUGAUUUCAAAGGCAUCUAAAUGAAUAAAGUAUUCAUAACUCAUUGUCAUGAAUCUACCCCACAUUGGAUAGUUCUGGCAUGUCACUACUUCUUUAAAAUCUUCCAGUCUUAUUAGAGAAUUUGAGGAGCUUUGAAGCUUGGGGUGUUGGCUGUCUCUGGAGGAGGCAAUGUUCUCAUUCCCCGUGGGAAGACCAUCUCCCCUCCCCUAUUUUAGGAUGUCUCUUACCUUCCCUGGUUGAUGUGCAAAGCCCACACUACUCUGAAUAUCCCAAUGGCAGUGGUGCUGAUCGGGUGGUGGGGGCCGGCGGGGAAGUUCCAGCACAGGUGUGUGGUGAGGUCUAGCUCACAACACCUGCAGGCAGAUGUGGCCACAGGAGAUGAGAGGCCUUACUGGCUGAUGUGGGAGGCAACCUCUGGAGGCAAAGAGCAAAGAGUGCUUGGGAAAUGAAUCCACCCUGCAUUGCCCACAGUGAUUCCACACACCCUGUCACGUUCAGUGGGUGGCCCUGUGUUGGGAGGGGGCGGAAAUUGGGAGCUCGUAGUAUGAGGUAAAAGGUUUUCUAGUGAACAGUAUGAACUUUGGUCAGAGAUACAUAUCCCUGGGAUUGGCGCAUGGCCAAUGAGAUGGGAUUUCUGAAAGAAGGGCACACCUCUGAAGGCACUGGAGAGCUCAUCAGAGCCCUUUACUGAGAGGAUCUGGUGGAGGUGGAGUAGCCUGGUGUCGGGUCUGUCCGACACCUGUGCUCCUGGUCCUUCUAGGAUCCAUGCUGUGGCUUCCUGAUCUGAAAAGCCUGUAAAGGAACUGGGAUGUUCAUUUCCCAUGUCAACUUGACUAGCCACGGGGUGCCCAGAUAUUUGGCUAAACAUUAAUCUUCCUUCCUUCCUUCCUACUAAACUCAGGCUUUACUCAGAUUUGAUUUGCUUUUCACUUAGUUGUUUUCUUGUUCUGGGAUCCAAUCCAUGCUGCCAAACUACAUUGAACAUGUAUCGACCUUUGAGGAGAGAGACUAAGCACUAGAGUACGUAUAAUUCUACUUUAAGAAAUUGAAUUUGCCUAAACAUUAGGAAGGGGGUUGUACAUACAUCAACACAGUUCAUUGAAACAUUGAACUUUUUUUUGUGUGUGACAAAUAAAAUUUAGCCAAAUAAACCCAAGUCCUGGUCAGUAUAUGUACAUACACACAGAGUCAUACUGACAUUCCUAGAAGAAAUAUAAAAUACAGGAUUACAACAGAGGGAAACAAAGUCUGAAAUAACUUACCAAGGAUGUGCAAGAGACAAACAAGAAAAUGUAUCAUGAAAUUUGGCUUUUAAAAAUCAAUUGUCAACUUAAAUUUAAAAAAGAAAUAGCAGUCAAAGAGAGAUUCUCCAAAGAAUACUGGUAUUUAUUUGGGAAGAGUCACAAGGGGCGUCGCAGAGCACAGUAGAGGGAGUGCGGGGCUGUGGCAAACUACCGGCACAUUCAAAGAGGGUGAGGCCGGGGGAACUGUUUAAAGACAACAGUGAGUUACAUCAGAUGUUUUGAAACAAUGAUCCUUGGUCACAAAGACUGAUAACAAUUGUGGCUGAGGUUGAGACUAAUAACCAGUCAGUGUGGGUUGACGGACAGUUGCUGGGCAGACAUCCUUGCAGAAGCAGCCUCUACGUUUGGCCUCUGGGCAAAGCUGUGUUUUUGACCGUCUUUUGUGGUGGGUGCUACCAGGGACUCCUGCAUAACGACCCUUCCUUCAUAACCUUCCAGCUCUUACUCUUUUGUGUUUGGGUUGACACAAGCAACUCUAUUUUGAUUUUGACAGUUUUUAUAUUUCUUUCAUAAUUCUAAAAGUAUUUCUCUCAUAACUAUUUCAUAGAAUUGUGAAAGAAAUAUAAAAAUUGUCAAAUGUGCUUCUUUAGUAAUGGUAUUUUUUAUUCUGCUAAUGUGAGUUCAGUCAUUGUAAAAAAUAUACACAUUUUUUUUCUCUUAAGUAUAUUUUUUGCUCAGAUUAAGUAUUGUAUGUAUGGGACAUUUUGUCUUUCUCACAGGUAUGCAUGGAUUAAGCAUUACUUCUUAACGUCUGUGAGCACGUUUCCUGAUGCAAUGAGCAUGGGACUGAAUAAACUGGAUGAAGCAAACGGUUCUCCCACUGUGGGUGGGCUUCAGCCAACCAGAGGCCCAAGAGGGCACAGUGCUGAGUCAGGAAGCCCCCACUCUGUUCCAAGCCGGGCAUGGAUCUCCUGCCCUCAGCCUGACUUGCACAUCCAGUGUCCUGGGUCUUCAGUUUGCAGAGGGCAGGUCACAGGGCAUCUCAGCCACCAUGGUCAUGGGAAAUAUAUAGAUAUGUACAUGCUGGAGUUGGCUUAUGGCCAAUACACAGACAGAGAGAGAGAGAAAUGUCCCCCACCCACGUUGAGCUCAGUGCACUUUUCCUUCACACUGGGCAUGAGCUCAGAGGAUGCUAGGUCUCACCAUUUCAGGAACCCAAACACACAUCCAUUGUUUGUGAAUGAAUGAACCCGAGUCUACCCACGAGCCAGGAGAUGACCUUAGAGAGAGACUGUGGGAAUGUCGAGGAUCUCCCAGUCUCUAGCAGGUCUAAAUUUCCACAAAGAUCGGCCUUUUUGCUUUGUGUUGUUUCCUUUUUCCUCAUGAAGUUGAACAUAGCAGCCCAGAGAUUCCACUCUAAAUAUGAGGAGGAAAUAGAACUGGACAUAGGAUGAAACCUGCAUCUCGUGCACAUUUUUGAAGGGGGCAGUACUCACUCAGAUUAGUUCACUUUUAAAUUUCACCAUCAUGGACUCAAACUAUCAGUCCUUGUGCAUCACUAACGCAGUCAGCAGGGAGCGUCCUAGGCCUCGUGUGUGUUGGGACUUCUCAGAGCUGUGAUGGAGUCGCAGCCAGAGCUCCACUCCUGGGGGCCCACCUGCUCGCCUGGGCCUCGGGCUCCUUGUCCUCCUUCCUGAUCCUUCCUGCAUUUACUUCUCCCCAUUCGAACUUGCCCCACCUUCAGCUUCGACACCAGCCCUCAGCUGACCUCGUUCAAGCCCAGCCCUAUCGUGGAGUCACAGGUCACAGGAGUCCUCCUGGCCAGGCUUUCCUGCUGACCCUGACCAGCAGCUUUCUAAACCUCUGCUGCCAGUUUUUGAGUUUCCCUCCCUGGGAAGUCGAUUUGCCUCCCUGACCUUGCCGGUACACAGAGGCCAGCUUUAUUCUUCAGGCUGUAGUUCCCAAGCACUCCUCUGUGACAACUCUGGGGACCGGUGGAACUCAGGUUCAUGAGGGUCCUGCCCUGGGAGCAAAUGUUCCGCAGCACCCUCAGUAGGCAGAGGGUGGCACCUGGCUGGUUACCAGAGAAUCAAGGCAUGGACAGUAAGAGCCGAGGCCAGGUGAGCUAAGGUGGGGUGUCAGCUUUAAUCCGAGCCAGGAGUUCUCAGAAAAGCAACCCGCAGCCUUGUGAUGGCUCAAACAAACCCAUAAUUCAUACACGGCCUCCGACAAUUGUCCACAAGGAUCUGGCCACUCAGCAGGACACCAGGGAAGCAGGUGAGAAGCCAGGUCUCCAGCCACAAGCUGGGGUCAUCCCACCCACCAGCCCGCCUCCGGCUUCUGCCAGGCCUGGCCUCCAGACCAAUCUGGACAUGUCAGACCCUCGCUGAGAAAGAAAAAAGGACAAAUCCCACAAGAGGAGAACAUGAAGGAAAGAAAGAGCCUCCAGACUGUAGCUAGCUCAGGAGCUCUUGUUUCUUAGACUCCAUAAACAUCUGUCCAACUCCAGAUCUCUGGGCAGGUUCUCAAGAAACACUCCACUCACAUCUACUAAAACACCCCCAGAGAGCGUGGUCUGAUACUGAGAACUCCAGCUUGUAUAUCAUGGUCUCGUGUUUCCCAACUUGACAUACCACAGUGAACAUACCAACAUUAAACGCAGCCCUCUGCGUGUGUGGACGUCAAAGCUAAUCUGGCAUUUCCCUGGCACCUGCGGAAGUCAGGAACAUGUGCACCUUCCAGCAGCCUGCAACGGCAAGAGUGCUUUCACAUACUCUUAAGAUGCUUACUUCUCAGCACUCUGCCUAUGAGAGGGUGGCUAUGGUCCAGUGAAGGUGGGCCAUUUCCAAAGUCACAUCAUGGACGUGAGAAUGACAAGAACUCUGUAGCUUUUUUCCAGGUUCGUUACUGUUCAAGGUCAUGGGGUCCUCCCCCAGCACAAGACUGGUACAAGCCCAGUAGCAGCCUGCUGCAGCCUGCCACCCCACGAGCACCAGGAAAGGAGACCCUCCUUCCAGGAACUCAGCCCCCAUAGUGGGCAAAUCACUUGUGGGAUUUUCCUGUGACCCAGGUAAAUGCUGGUGGCUUUUCAUCUCACCCCAUAACACAAAAAAUAAUCCCCUUGGGAAAACCAUAUUAUUUUAAGCAAUAAAAAGCAUCAUUUGCAGGAAACAUUAGUCUCUCUCUCUCUCUCUCUCUCUCUUUGGUUGUGUAAUAAAAAUAGCUGAUGGUCUGAGGGAUGCUGGAGGGAGCCCAGAGAGACUGCAACACAAGUGAAUCAAAGUGUUUCUUGGCCUCCCCUAUUUUAAAAGGAGAGGGGGUGCUCAACUUAAAGGAAUGGCUGUGAGUUACAGAAUCUUGCAGCCAUGGGUAUGGGGAGGAGCCAAGAGCAGGAUCCCACCUGAGUCUCUCCACUCUGGCCCUGGCCCUGGAGACUUCUGCAGGAGCCCACAGCCUGCCUGACCACACCCUGGGACACAAAGUCUGUGUGCACCAGAACCACUUGUGAGUCAGGGGUGAGCCCUUCUCUUACAAGUUCCCAAAUGAGAACCACUAGGCCAGGCAUGUCUUUUGCAGGUGAUUUCCCCGUGGAGAGAAGCAGCCCCAGGCUUCGGUAUCACUCAUGACAUUGUCCAGCACUGGAUGUGACUGCGGUAUAGGAGCCAUUCCCAGCCCUCCCCAUCUCCUCUGUUCACUGACAUCAGGGAGCUCAGGCUGCCGUAACAGAAUACCACACCCGGGGGGCUCGAGAACAGCACUUAUUUCUCACAGUUCUGGAGGCUGGAAGUCAGAGAUCAGGGUGCUGGUGGUCGGGUCCCAGGAAGGCCCCUCCCAGGUGGCAGACUGUCACCUUUAGUUAUGUCUGCACGUGGAGGAGAGAGGGUUAGAGAGCUCCCUGGGAUGCUCAUAAGGCUACUGAGCCACCCAUGAGGGCGCCACCCUCAAAAUCCAACCACCCCCACAGCCCCCAAAACGCUACCACAAAAGAAUUUUGUAGGGACACAAGCAUUCCGUCCGCAAUCUGUAAUAACUGUGUUUAAUGUUAUUAAACAACAUCACUUCAGGAAAAGGGAAGACUCUGUUUCCUGACUUUUUCCAGCUCAGAGAGGUCCCUGUACUUCUUGGCCUUUACAAGGAAACAGUGCUCCCCUGGGUCUCCAGGAGGAAGAUCGUCCAGCCAUCGCCUGGGACUGGCCCACAGGACCCAUUUCAGACUGCUCCAGAACCUUCAGCUGGUUGUGUUGACUCAAGUGAAAAGUUAGCGUCCUAUUGCUGCAACAGAGGGACCUAGAACCACGAGUAGCCCAGUCCCACCCCAGCCCCAGCCAGCACCCAGCCUGGCUGUCCCCAGCAGGGGGAGCUGGCUGUGGUGAGCAGCUUUGCUGUGGGUCCCCUCACCCUGAGAGAUAGUCUGGUCCCGUCACCCCCCUUGCUGAACACAGAGCCUCAGGGACUCAGAAAGACCCUGUGCUAAUCUAGACAGAUUGAAUAUUGCGGGAAUUCUAGGACAGGAUUUUUCAGAUCUGGGAUAUGAGAUCUGAGGAAGUUUCCCUCCAGGGGGAACCCACUUCGAAUCUUCCAUCCUGCUGGGAGAGUAGGCUGGGUAGAGCACACCAAAGCAGGAGACUGAGUUAGGGACGAAGAGCCUUACUAACAAGACUGUCCAGUAACACUCUAACCACGACCUGCAGACAAGCCUACAUUAAGCACUCAGAACAGAAGAACUUGAUUCACAGCCAUUCACUGAAUGAGCCAAAAAUAAUUGCCGAGAGGCUUGGGCUAAGGCCAAGGAAAGCAGAAAACAAAGCCCGUGGAAGCACAUGAGACCUCCAAGUACACUCACUGAGAACUGCAGUCUGUCGCCCCGUCCUGCACCCCGUUUAGAAGGGAACCAAAAAGGAGGUAACAUCCAGCACCCCACAUGCUGGCCAAGAUGAGGGGUUUCCAAUGGCACAGAGUUUGGCCACUGCUCAGCCACUCUGUCCAGAAAUAUCAGGUGAUUCUUUUGGAGGUUGCAAAGAGUAGUGUGGUCCUAGGAAAAAGAACCAGGGAUCACGGAGCUGAAGUCUACCCACCAUUCCCCACUCAGCAAGCCCUGGAUGCCAGGGUGCCAUAUGUGGUGCUGGGUAACCAGGAUGCAAGGUGCAAGGGGCAGAUCCGGGCACCCCGUCUGAGGUACAGAAGGAAGUCGAGCUGCCAGAAAGAUGUAAAUGAUUCAUGGUAUAGCUGCUGCUCCACUCAGAUAGCCCCGUUGUCAGUGGAAAACGUUGAAUGUGAAAACAUAUUCCAUGCACUAAACCCACAGAACACCAAGCUUCUUACCACGGCCUACCUUAACCAAGCUCAGAACAGUCUCCUAACACAAGCCCUCUCCAUGAGAAAAUGUCAAGAAUCUCAUGAACGUAACUGAAAGUGAAACAGAGCUUGGGUGGACGCGCUUUCAAGCCCUCACAGAGUCCAGAGGUUGUGAGUGGGGACCAGGAAGGCCUUUGCUGGUUUGGGGCUGACUCUAGUUGCGCUGUGUCCAAGAGGCUGCCCAGAAGCUGCAGCAUCUGAACUGAGUCCUGUGGCACUAAAGAGGGCUGCCAGGUGGUAGGGGCUGUGGUUUUACGAUAGAGAAACAGCCGAGGAGCCGAAACAGCGCCCCUCUUCAGGAUCACAGUCCCGGGGCUCUUCCCCACUUCUGUCCUUGGCUGCCUGCCCAUGUUUCCUGCAGGGGAAGCUGCUUCCUGCCUCCUCCACACAGCCCUGUGCUCUAGGAGACUGCUUCUCCCUUCAACCCAGGUCCUGUCCUCAGCCCUCGCCUUCCCGGUCCCUGCAGGACCCAGCCACAUGCUGCCUCUGGGUCUCCUCUGUCAUGUUGGGGCCACCUCUCUUCCUGUGAAAAGGGAUAACCCACGUUUUUCACAAGCAGCAUUCCACCCUGACCAAGAGUGAGCAGCAUCAAGGAUUGGAACCAGACCACUUUGUAGGCUCCACCAGCCAAAGUGCUCACGCUGCACAGGACCACGUUCUUCCCAAGAAACCCCUCUGUGCAAGAAAAUAAAUCUCUGAGCAUGUGCAGCACCUCUGUACCUCAAGUCAGCUGGCAGAGCCCAGGAUGGAGGCUCAGUCUGCCUGGAGCCCCCUUCAGGGAAAGUCUGUCCCAUGUGUCCCCAUAGCUAAGUGGAGAAAAUGCUCUUCUAAUCAGCACUUUUUAGUGCAGUAAAAUGUACUUACCAUAGUAGGUAACUACAUUCAAAACCAUACAACUCAGAACAUUCACAUGUUGCACAGCAAUCAUGGCUACCUAGCUUCAGAACUUCGCCAUCACCUCAGAUGCAGACCUCAUACUCAGUAAGUAGUCGCGCCCACUACCCCUUCAUCUCUCCUCCUGCCUGUGAUGACCACUGAUCAGCCUCUGUCUCUGUGGAUUUGCUGACCCUGGACAUUUCGAGGCAGUGGAGUCCUGGGAUGCACCACCUUCCUGUCUGCGUUCUCUCUUUCCGCACAAUGUUUUUGUGGUUUGUGCAUGAGGUGACAUGGGCCAGCACUGCUCCCUCUACAGCUGGACAUUAUUCCAUGGUGGGGAUGUGCCACAUUUUGUUGGUUCGUCUGCUGAUGGCCGUUCGGGUUGUUUCCACCUCUUGGCUAUGGUGAACAAUGCUGCUGCUACAACAAGUCUACAAACACAGUCAAGCCCUGAACACCAACAUUUUGGUCAACAAUGAACUGCAAACAUGACAGUGGUCCUAAGAUCAUGUCACCUCGUGGGCUGUAGCCACCUGGGUUUAUAUAGAUACCCUCUACAGAGUUCACACAAUGAUAAAACCACCUAAGAGCUCACAGUGCAUCCCCAUCAUUAGGUGACCAUUCUUUUCAGUGUGUGCCUGGGGUGGAACUGCUGGGUUGUAUGAGGAUUCUGUGUUCGGGGUUUGAGGGACUGCCAAGCCAUCAUCCACGGCAGCUGCCCUGUGCAGGAUCUGAGGGGUCCAGCUUCUCCACAUCCUCACCGACACUUGCUCUUUUCUGGUUGUGCCUCUUGCCAUUAUGGUAGCCAGAGCAGUAGUGUCUUGUGGUUUGGGUUUGCAUUUCCCUGAUGACGACCAAUGUUGGAUAUCUUCUCACGUGCUAUUGGCUAUUCAUAUUCUUAUCAGCAAUUUUUUUCUUGAUUCGUAAAAAAAAACUAUUUAUAAAUUUGUUUCAAUAAGCGAUUAUACUAACAUCUAACGCUCAUUGAGCUAGUUCUGUGCAGCACACCCUGGGAUUCUUCCCAUGGAUUAAUCUAUUCAUGAAAGUCCUGGAUAUAAAUUUUCCUCUUUUUGUGGAUAAGAAAACUGAGUUGCAGACAGGUGAGAAAAGUUGCCCAAGUCACACAGCUAUAAGAAACUAGAGUUAGGCUUAGAUUCUAAGUGGGCUGCCUAAUAGACAAUUUUAAAAUGUUGCCCUUUCACCAUAUUCAGAGGUCAACUAGAGGAAAUUUUAUUUAAUCUAUGCCAGUUGUUUCAUUUUUUUUCUAAAAGAUAUGGAGUUAAAGCUCAUUUUGAGAACUUUUUCUUCAAUCAAAUAUGCAUCUAUCAUUAACCAUAAAGGAAAGGUGAGAGAAUGACCUCCCCAGAGAAAGCACCAAUUUUGCAAGAACUGGACUUUAUGUCAGAGGAGCAAUUGACUAAAUUCUCUAUUUCCAGGGAGGGAACAGAAAGGCUUGCUCCAUCAGUGUCUCCUAGCCUGUUUCUGUGUGUUCUCCUCAAGCUCCAAGAGAAAGCAGUGAGCAGACCUGCUGCACUUGCCUGCAGGGUUCCGGUUACUCCUCAGUACAGACAGGGCAGCAGUUUCCUCUCCUGCAGCUUCCCACCAAGGCAGGUAAUAAGUACCCAAGUUUAUCUUGAAUUAUAAUUGAGAAAAUCGAUAAAAUAAUAGGCUCUCUAGGUUCACAACUCAGCAGCAUCUGCUCAUCUGGAAAAGUAGGGAAAAAAUAAAAACAAGAAAGAGAUUAUAGGCACAAACCUAAAUUCCAGUUAAACAUCCCUCACCACCAAGUACAUGUGAGUGUCUAAUCAGGGGUUCUCUUCUGCAGGACAGCUUGGUUUUCCUUUGAGCCGUAUGAUGCAGUGUCGGCAAUGAGAGGGUUCUCGCACCACACAGACCAGCACUUCCCAACUUGGGAUCACAUGUCAUCUGUUUGUUACUUCUCAAGCCCAGUGCCUCCCAGGCCAAGCCACAUGUUGGUGCACGGACACACUCCCAGUGAGCUAAAUUGCAAGUCAGCUCAGCCUGGAGGCCAGACAUGGGAUGAAGGUGCCAUCUUGGAAGCAGAGGUCUUUGGGCGCCACCCAACCCAGAAGCAGAGCUGCCCCACUGGGCUCUGCAAACUCUGACACACAGAUUCUGUGAGCAUGAUAAAAAUAGCUGGUCGUUAUGCCACUAUGUUCAGGGUGGUUUUUACCAAGCAUAGCAGCCUGGAGGAAAAACGGACAACUGGGCAUAUUUUGUUAGAUUUAUUGCUGAAUAUUUCAUUCUCAUUGCUAUUGUAAAUAGCAUCUAAAUUUCUUCUUAAUUUUAAUAACUUCUUGAUUGAUUCUUUUUAUUAUUUAAUCAAUUAUGUUGGGGUUUGUUGUUGUUUUAAAAGGAUUUUUUUUUUGUAUAACUGAUUGUGACCCUUAAAGAAUAACUUCCCAUCCUCCAGGCCCCCUAUUCCCUCAUAACCACUAACCCAUCUUCUGCUUCUGUGAGUUGGACUUUUGUAGAUUCCAUGUGUAAAAUCCUGUGUUAUUUGUCUUUGUGGCACCUGGCUUAUUUCACUGAGUAUUAUGGCCUCUGGCUUCGUCCAAUAAGUUUUUGAAAUAAUAAAUUCUUUUGAUUUUUUUACUUGCACAAUAAAAUCAUCUGAAAUGAGAGUUUUAUUUCUUUCUUCCAGUGCUUGUAACUUUUCAUUUCUUUUUCUUGCAUUACUCCUUUGGCCAGGACCUCUGUCCAGCGCACACAGACUUCUUCCACCAGGAUACUAACAUGCAUUCUGAACUUUUAAAGAUCUAAAUGUUAACUCCAUUGCUCUGGAUGACAAGGCAUUAGGAACAGCCCUUCAGGCUUCCCCAAUGCAGGGACUCUGACCUCUGGGUUUCCUUUCAAGCAGUAAUGUUAGAAAAGGCAAAUGAGAGGACAAGGCAGAGAUUUAAGUAACCCCUGUAUGUGAAUUAUGACCUAACACUGGCUCCACCAAUGAGCAGUGUCCAGCAGCUGCCCCCAUUCAACAGUCACAACACUUUGUAGGCAUGGUUGGCCGGUGUCAACCUCUGGUUCUUUGCUGCUGGACUCCCAGGUUCAAACGCAUCUGCCAAAGUUACCCACGUUCCAGCUCCUCAGGUCCCACUAAAGUGCAGGGUGUGAACACUAGUUCUGGCACUGCCCUUAACUAAACAGACACAUUCAAGCUCCAAGAGAAAGCAGUGACAUUGCAUCCAGGUGGGCAGAACCAUUUGAAUAUUUCUGACGAACAAAAGGCAUACAAGCAGGAAAAGACUGGAAAUAACUUUGAUAAUAGGGAACAAGGUUGGCUUUUCUCCUGGGUGGUCUGGUUUGCUUGGACUUCCUAAUUCAGCUCCUUUAGAUCUUACUCGCUAAGCUAAAGGCCUUGACUUCCCUUCAUAAAGGCUCUCCCAGGAAUGCUCCUGGGAUUCACUUCUUCCUACUUAAAGUUAAAGUGAGUUAAAUUUUCCAUAUUCUCUGGAACAAAACCACUCCCUUAGAAUGUCUUCACUCCAAAUUCUUUCUUUCCCAUUAUUCAUGCUCUUAUUUAUUUAUUUAUUAUUUAUUUUUUCUUACUGGGGAUUUAACCUAGAAGCACUUAACCACUGAGCCACAUCCCCAGCCCUUUUUAAUUUUUUUUUUUUGAGGCAGGGCCUCACUAGGUUGCUUCAGGCAUUGCUAAAUUGGUGAGACUGGCUUUGAACUAGCAAUCCUCCUGCCUUAGCCUCCCAAACCUCUGGGAUUACAAGCAUGUGUCACCCACCAUGCCUCAUUCAUUUUUCUAUUAUUUUAAUUCCACCUUGCUCUUACAUUUCCCCAAAUUAGUCAUUUUUAAAGCCGAAGCCUAACCAUUUUUUCUACUGUGUGUUAAUAUUUGUUCCCUUUUGCGUCUUUCAUUACCCACUGUUCUUCAGGGGCUAAAUUCCCCUCUUACUGGACAUACCCCUAAGUCAUUCUUUCAGAGAGGGCUUGGCCUGGCAAACAUCUUAGGUUGGAAAUGUUUUUUUAUUUCAUCCUUAUCUUUGAAUGAUAAGCUAGCAGAGUAUGGAACUCUAUUUUAUUUUGAUUUAUAAAAAAUGUUAUUUACUGGCAUUAACAUCACUGAUGAGAAAUCUGUUUUUAGUCUAAUUGUCUUUGGGGAUGCUGGGUUUUUCCCCUUGCCAUUUGUUUUCUUUGAUACUUCUUAGUUUCAUUAUGGUGAGUUUAAGUUUGGUGUAGUUUUUGUUUUGCUUCAUUUCACUUAAUUUUAUUUUGUUUUUUAUUUGUGUGGUGCUGAGGGUUGAACCCAGGGCCUCCUGAAUGCCAGACCUGUGCUCCACCACAGAAAAGCACCCCUGCCCUGAGGAGUCGCUCUUAACAUCGUGUGCUUUUUUAACUUGAAGACUUAAGUCUUUUUUAAAUUCUAAAAAUUCUCUGUCUUUGUCUUGUCCAAUCUUGCACUUUCCUGUUCUCUGCAUUCCUCUCUUCCUGAGGAAACUGUGAGGGCUGGAUCCUGGACCCACUCCAUGCAUCCCUCAGGCACUCAUGAAGCUUCCUCCUGAGUCCCCAUUGCUCAGUGUCUUGCGGUCUCCGGGCUUCCCUUCCAGUUCACCAGCAAGCUGUGCCGUGGGAGGCCAAACUCGCAGUGAUUUGAGUUACCUCCCUGGCUGGGCGAGAGGCGCUUGGACGCAGCUGUCAGGGCUUUCCCCACCCUUCUCCAGGUCCGAGGGCUUGUCUGUGCAGAGGCGUGUCUGGCCACUACCCCAAAGACCCAAUCGUUGCCCCUGACCUUGGGAUGCUGCCCCCCUUAAUCUUCAUUGGAUGGGAUUUUCCCCAGAAUUUUUUGUUCCCCAAUAAAAGUCCACUCCCUGGCUUUCUCUCUCUCUCUCUCUCUCUCUCUCUCUCUCUCUCUCUCUCGCUGGCCUCUUCCACAAUAGGUGGCUGGAGGCUGGAGCUAGGAGGAGCCGUCCUGGAGCUGGUUUAAAGGUAAUUAGAGUCUCGUCUCUUUAAUUCAAAACUCCCUAGCGGUUUCUCACGUCUCGAAACUUCAUUCAUGAAGCCGGCGCAGGUGGCGGGCUAAACUCUGCCAUAGCACCUGGCCAUUGUCCACUGAGUGUUCAUCAGGACAGCCCCGUUUAUUAUCUCUAGAGUUUCUGUUCAUUCCUUUUUAAUCGACUUGCACUUUUUUUCAUGACCUCCUUGCUCUUUACAGAUCCCAGGCAUAUUUGCAUAGAUAGAUCACUUCCUGGGCGUGCUUUAUCUUAGCUGCUGAACCCAACCACUCACUUGUGCAUGGUCAUUGGUUCCCUUGCGUGAUGUAUGAACUGCCAGGUGAGCCACUUCCAUACACAGUGCUGCACCUGCCCUGGGAUGUGGGGCAUCUCUUGAAGUCCCAGUUCUGGACCAGUCCAUAUUUUAAUUUCUCAGUUUCAGGUCUCUGCGCCUCAUAUAUGAUGUAGAUUCAGACAACCUGCACGUGGCCCAGAAUUCUGCAGAAUAAGGCCUAAAGCGUGGGCAUGAUUCUGAGCUGUGUUCCCAAUCAGAUGGGCAGGGGUUUUUAGCCCCCAGCUCACAGUUCAGGCAGCCCUCCCUGGCUCCUCCCUGAUGCCAGAUGCCACCUCUGUGCUGUGUGGGGCCUGGGGUAGGGAGCGGACACCCAUGGACUCAAUUCCUUCCUUCCUGCAGUGGAAGCAUGUUGAGGACUUCACGGGGCGCGAAGCUCCAUCCUGACCUUUAGCUGGCUCUGGGUAUUCCUAAGUUUCAUUAUGGUGAGUUUAUGUUUGGAGUAGUUUUUUGUUUUGUUUCCUUUUACUUAAUUUUGCUUUGUUUUUUAUUUGUGUGGUACUGAAUUUCCAACCCAAUCUUAAUUUCUACAUGUUUUAUUACUAUUAUGGUUUGGAUAUGAGGUAUCUCCAAAACUCUCCUGGGUGAGACAAUGCAAUAAAUUUUAGAGGUGAAAUGAUCAGAUUAUGAGAUUCAUGACCUAAUCAGUGGAUUAACCCACUGAUAGGGAUUAACUGUGGUCACUGUAGGCAGCUGGGGCUGGAGGAGGUGAGUCCCUGGGGGAGUGGGGGUAUAUAUUUUGUCCCUGGUCAGUGGAGCUCUCUCUCGUCGCUUCCUUACUGCCGUGUCCCGGGCUCUUUUCUUGCCCCAGGUCCUUCUUCUCCGAUGCUCUGCCUCACCUGGGCCCUGAGCCAUGGAGUGGACCAGUAAGCACUGACCCUCUGAAUCUUCCAGCCUUAAAUAAGUUUUUCUUUUCUAUGUUGUUCUUGUCAGAUAUAUUGGUCACAGUGAUGCAAAAACCAACUAAAACAAUUACUUUAUCAAACAUUCUUGUGUGUUUCUAGAUGGUCCACCUAUAAGAGGUGGCCUCAGAAUUGGCUCCAUCUACCAGGUCAUGUGGACUGAACUCUGAGGUCAUGGGGCAGAGUAAGAAUUUCCAGGAGCUUGCCUAGCAUGUGCCAGGCCCUGGGUUCAAUCUCUAGAACACACACACACACACACACACAAAAAAAAUUAUCAAGUAAAAAAGUAACCAAGGCCAACUUGAAAGACUUGAAAGGCAAACCCAAAGAUGGCAUGCCCUAGUGCCAGCAGUUCAUUCUUCACCUGAAAGCUGUCAUUGUCCGCUGGACUGAGGACAGGACCAUCUCUGCCUCUCUCCUGCAGCAUGCCAGGCCCACCCACGGGCUCGAUCCUCGGACAGUAGCCCUGAUUCUCUCUAAUUCAUAUUACGUUUUUGAAGUAGGCAUGGUUUUCAUUCUAGUUUUUAAUGUGGUAAAAUACAUAUGGCAUAAAAUGACCAACUUAACCAUUUUAAGUGUAGAGCUCGGUGGCAUGAAAUACCUUCAUAAAGCCGCGCGACCCCACCUCCUUUCAGCUGGUAGAACUGAAAUUCUAUUCCCACCCAGCAAAUGCUGGCUCCUCACCCCACCCUGCAGCAACCACCAGCGGCCAUCUCUGCAUCGUACCUUCUCUAACUAGAAGGCAUCGUGUUCCAGCUGCCAUUAAAACUGCAGAGACUGCAGCGAAGGCCCUCGCCUAGGGUCGCUUCUACCCGAGGGCUCUGAAUCCAGUCCACCUGGGCCACUGCUGCUGCUCGGCUGUGGAGCCUUCGUAAAGUCCACGGAGUCCAUGAGCAGGGAGAGGAAAGAGACCUGGGAGGAAAGAUGCAGGGAUGGGAGAAGCUAACAGAAACGGAUUUUGAAUCACGUAGGGCAUUUUAUACCAACUAAACAAUCAAGAGAGCCUCAUUGGAGGGCGCCCAGUCCCGGGCGUUACGUGGCGUGGACAGCCUGGCAGGGGCACUGCAGAGGGACUCCCAGCUCCCAGAGCCACAGCCAAGUGGCUGUUCCCACCCUCGUUCUGGGCUGUUUUCUCAUCUCUCCAGCCUGCCAUUCAUUGGACUGCAAUGCCUCAUUUGAUGGAGCUGGUGACCCAGAUAGCUUCAAGUAGCUCUCUGCUCUGUGGGUGGCCAGUCCCUUGUGGGGGUGUCCAGUUACCAGCUGCAGACACUGGGUGACUUUUCCCUCCCACCAUGGGCUCUGCAAGUCCCCACCCCCACCCCAUCCCACCCCACUGUCAGGAUUAGGAGAUCUCAGCCCCUGCCCAUCCCCCACAGGGAGGAGGGGAGGACCCUUAGCCCCCUGGAGUGGGCAGUAGAAGCAGAGCAGAGGAGGAGGGCGGAGGUGGAUCAGCCUCAGCCUUCACUCAGGGACCCUGACUGACUGACAGGCAUGGAUGCUUGGCAUCCCCCAGGCCAGUGGGGCCAGCCGUGUGAAAUGUGCUCAGGCUGGGAGGCUGGAUUUGGAGCUGUCUUCCCUCAGCCACACACAGAGUUCUAUUCCCCAUAUCUAUGUGACAGGGAACCCCAGCAGAGGACAGGGCUGUGGGCCUCUACCCUGAGAUGCCCUCCUGCCUCCUCAGGCCCUCAUCUCAGCACCCAUGAGCUAGGUGACCCCCUCAGAGGGCAGUGGCCGAAGAACAAUCAAAAAGCUACAAUAGAAACUACCAGGAGGGGCUGGGGUUGUGGCUCAGCGGUAGAGGGCUUGCCUAUCACAUGUGAGGCCCUGGGUUCCAUCCUCAGCACCACAUAAAAAUGAAUAAAGAAAGGUAUUGUGUCCAGCUACAACUAAAAAUAAAUAAAUAUUUUUUAAAAAAGAAAGAAACUGGCAGGGAACAGCACCCAGGGGGCCGUCCUGUGCUGCAAGUCCUUGUGCUGAUGUCCUCCAAAGGCUUGGAGGGGCAGUUAACCUGCAGCAUGAACAAGACCUGCUCCUGUGGGUUGUGUCCACCUCCCUGCCCCUGCCUCCACUCCACAGCCCAGUGACGCUCCCAGGCCCUCCUGCCCCGAGAGGAGGCAGCAGCUUGCCAUCCUCUGGGCAAACAUGGUGUCCAACUGGCCAGAGGAAGGUCACCUGCCACCUGCCAGCUUUCUUCUGGGGUUUGCUUUGCACGUCAAUGGUUCACAAGUCAAAGGGCGUGAGCACUCAUGGAGGCCUUGGCUGACGUGGGCUGGCUGUCGUCACUGGCUGGGCAGGCUCUGGAGGUGGGUCCAUGACAGCACAAGGUGCUAGCUCCUUCGCUCACCUCCUGCCAGCCCUUCAGAAGCGGUUCCUCUGUCUCACACAGACUAGGAAGGGGAGCUGGGAGCAAGGCUGACACACCACGCGUGGUUCCAGGACCAGAGACCUGGUGUCACACCACUGAUGUCAACUCCCUCUGGUUUGGGUGAAGAGAGAGAGAAAUACAGCAAUCUUUCCUCCAUCAUGAAGGCAUCUUAACCAUCUUCAAUUUAACCUUUUAAAGCCUUUUGCAACUUACUUAGACAUUUUACAACUUUUUACUUUAUCACACAAAGAUUAUCUCAUCUAAAAACAUUUCUUUUUCUUAUAACCUUCCAUAUUAAAAUAUAUUUCCACAUCUUGAAUCUUUUUAUAUUUCUUUUUUCUUUUUUCCGCCAUGAAGGUAUCUCGACCACCUUCAAUUUAACCUUUUAAAGCCUUUUAAUUAUCAUCUAUACUGUACUUUUAAAUGUACUUUUCACCACCUACAACUUCACUCUUUUAAACGAGGCUUAGAUUCUGUUUAAAUCGCUUCAAUGUUAGUUUACAUGGCUGCCCUUCAACCAAAGGCUUUUUUUUUUUAACUCCAUUGAGAAGCUUUGUAUCAAUCUGCCUUGUACAAAUACCUUUUUUUGAUUUCUUCCUUUCUCAAGCUUUUAAAUUAAGUCUAGUUUCCUCAAAAUCUUUUUAAAUGGCAUUUUACAACUUUUUACUUUACCACACAGAGAUUAUCUCAUCUAGAAACAUUUCUUUCUUUUUUUUAACCUACCAUAUUAAAAUAUAUUUUCACAUCUUCAAUCUUUUAAUAUCUCUUUUGUAGCUGUUAACCCUUUUUAUAAAUUCACACUUUGAAACAACCCUUAUAAAAUUUCUGAUUUAGACAAAUUACUCCACUUUAAUAAGAUGAAAUACUUUCAUUUUUUUAAUGGUACUAUAAUACUAUAACUGAAACCCAACUGAAACUUCUUAUACUCUUUGUAUAUAAAUUACACAUGAUAGAAUCUUAACACUUAGUAACCUUGUUUUAGCAAAGACACAGACCAAAGCAAUAUUAAACCUUUUUCCAUUUACCAAUUUAUGAAAACACACAUGUUUAAAUAUAUUACCUUAUGGGACUUAAUAAGUAAAGAGUACUUGAUUUUAUAUUUAGUGGUUGAUUUAACACUUUACCUUUGUAAAUUAAUCAGAUGUCUGUAAAAACCAAGAUCUUAGACAAGUGUAGUAAACAGAACUAGCCAUCUUUUUCUUGAAGAAAAAUCCUUCUAUAGGAUACCAUGAUGGUCCCAUUGAUAUACUUAAUAACUCGUCUUUAAAAAGCCAUUUGCUACAUUUUUGUAUUUUAUCAACAUAUGCCUUAACUGUUCUUGGUCUUACUGGGGUGCCUCCUUUCUCUAACAAUUUCUCUUCCUCGGAGGCGAACAACUUCAAACCUUGAGUCAACCAUUUUCCCCAGUUUGCCUGAGAAAGUUCUAGGAACAGGCAACUUGAAAUAAAAACAAAAUAAAUCAAAACAAUAACACAUUGUUUUUUGAAAUGUUCACCCAUUCUUUCUCUCUUCCUCAAGGGUGAGAAAUUUCACUUACCUCUAAGCUUCAGAAGUUCCCCGUACGGGCCACCAAAUGCCGCAGUCUGGCUGGGCACAAAUGCCGCAGUCUGGCUGGGCACACAAUCACGAGCCACCACACAGCUUGUAGAUUCAAACAGCAACUCUUUAUUCCCGAACUCACACCAGCCGUCUACAAUCACGUUCUGGGGAAAUCCACGUUCUCUGCCCAAAUCCACCUCCACUGGGCUUCUAUCUCCCAAAUAUACUGUCUGAAUCCCGUGAGAACUCAAGGGGAACUCAGGCAGCAGGAUACGCCCUAUUCCCAGCAGGAAUAAUCUUAAACCUUAAACCUGGAACCUAAACUGGGAACGCCCUAAACCCGAUUAUCUUAAACCGGGAACACCCUAAUCCUCCUUGGUCCUUGAGCAAGGUCACCUACAUUCAAUGUCACUGCAACAUGGGGUACGCUGGCAAGGAAAUUGUCAUACCUACUUGGCUAAUGGCUCCCAGCAGGAAGGGGCCCUUAUCACUCCCACUCAGAGCUGUUACCAGAGGAGCUGGGAGGUCUCCUCACUGCCUUGCUCUUCCCACAGGGUGGCAGGACUUAGUGUGUCGAAAUACCAAUUCUCGGGUCUUCACGUCACGCACAGAGAAGCUGUCAGCGCAGCCACGGGGACAAGUUCACAGUGGUCACUUCAUAGGAAAGGCAAGGCCUGAGAAGGCUGAAGUCAUCACCUCUGUUCAGAGCGCUCAGCUGAGAACGCUGCCGCACCCCUAGCCAAGUGCCAGGCUGGUGGUGGGCGCUGGGGCCCAGAGACAGACGAGGCCGUUCUCUGCCCUGCUGGAAGAAUGACCAGACGAUGCUCUCUGCCAAGAGUUUCUGAGGGACGAUGGUGCCUGACCCGCGACGGGGAAGCUGAGGCACAGCACAGCAGGGUGUCGAGGUGCUGGCCGUCUCUGUGCUCUUUACCGCCAGGCUUUACAGUGUCGGACUCCGGGAGGGUUAGGAGCGCCAGAUCCUACUUCACAGACAAAAGCAAGAAAAGACAGAGCCAGACCCUGCGUUUCCUUCAGGUUAACCUCGGGCCGGCAGCAGCUUUCACACUCCUGGCCUCCAAGGCCAGCUGUUCCCUGGGCCGUUCCAUGAGCAUGUCCUACUGUGAGCCCAACCCCAGGACUGCUGCAUUCAAGAGCAGAUCGGGAUUGUGCCAGCAAGGACAGGAGACUGGCUCUUCAGGGGCCGGUUCCACAGGUGGCCACUGGGCAAAAGGUGCCUGAGAUCCUGCCCCUCUGCAGGGCUGUGCCCUUCCCAGGGCCUCCUCUUGGCUUACACACUAUUCACACAGCUCAUUUUCCCUCUGGAAAUCUCACAAGAGAGGGAACACAUUCCCACACUCAGAGGAGGGGUCACAGAAACGCAUUUCCAAGCCGUUCUGAGCAUCAGCAGCUCAAAGGGGUUUUUCAUCUUAAAUGACUUUAUUUGGUGUCAAAGACAAAAACAUUAUUAUUCACUCUGGCUUUAAUGAAAGAAUGUCUCUUUUUUAAAAUACAGUUAUUUAAGUUCAAUAACUCUAUUCAGGAUCUUGAUGUCCUUUUAAACCCCGCCUCCCUCAGCCCUCCUUCAGGACCCUGUCAAAGGCUCCUGGUGAUCUGUAAUCUGCUAGUCUGUAUUUUAAUAUCUGCAGCUGUGAAGCUGAGAAACGCCCUCAGUUGGCAUUAGUGAAAGUCGGCUUCCAGGGGGGAUGAAGUUUCCCCACAGCGUGAUUUUAGGUUAAAGAGCAAAAUAAACAAAGUGAGGAUUUUGAGAGUUUCCUUUUGGGACCAUGAAACCUCCCUGUGGACAUGACCUUUGUGCACAGGUACAGAGAUGCUGAUAAUAACUAAUACACGUCUCCGGGUCUCCGUCCUUCUUUUGUGUCCCUCAAAGAGAUGCAAAAGUGAACAGCUCAGUGGUGGCUUCUUACCGUUCCUCGAAGCAUCUCUGCAAGGGCAGGUGACAGCACCCCUCCCUGGCUCUCCUCUGCCCUUUCCCUACAACCCUUCUGCACUUCGCUUUGUGUUCUCAGACCUGGGAGUUGACUGACUCUCUCCAACCAAACUCCCAAGGCCACCCAGCUGGUUUUAGUUGCCCUCAGGAGGUGACUGAACCUGUCAGUCGCCUGCAUUUGACCCUUUCAUCCAGACUAAGGUGCACGGUAGAUGACCAAUGAGUUCCCCAAAGACCUCUGAGUCCUGAUCCCUAAUGCCCCUGAAGGCCCAUGUCUGUGCCUGUGACUGUGAAUGUUUUGCAGAUGUGAUUAAGGGCUCUGAGACAGGAAGAUUGUCCUACAUAAUCUGGGUGGGCCUAAGCAUAACCAAUGUCCUCAUGAGAGGGAGGUGACGUGAUCAUGGAGGCAGAGCUUGGAGUGAUGGGGACACAGGCCUCGGAACACCUGCAGAAGCCGGAAAGGCGAGGAGAGAUUGCACCCUGGAGCUCCCAGAGGACCCGCCCUGCGGACACCAUGACCCCAGACCAGUGGGGCUGACUGGGACUCUUGGCCAUCAGAGCUGUAAGGAAGUGAAUUCCUGUGGCUUAAAGCCAUUAAACUUGUGGUGACUUUUUAUUGCAGCUAUGGGGAAGUGGUGUGGGAGAAUGACAAAAGUCAGGUCUCCUGAAUCACGCUGUUUGCUAUUGUAUAGGGCAGUCCUAGGACCAGGAAUCCAUGUGCAGUUUGUGGCAGAGUGAGGGACGGGUUUGUGAGUGGACGUUUUCCACCCACUCUGACUGGCCCUGCCUUGGUUUUCUAGUGUAAAACUUGGAACCCCAGGUCUCCCGGAGGAACUAUACCCAAAUCAUUCUGAACAGGUUAGGGUUAGAUAGUUUUGAAAGGUGUCCCAGGUGAUCCCUUAUUUUCCAACACCGACAUCUGACAAAUCAACCUCACUAAGCAUCAGAAUCCCACGAGAAGUUUUUUUCUGAAACGCCAAAUCCAUUGACAUCCCUGGAGAUUUCGAUGGAGGAAAUUUGGGAGGAGCCUGCGCCUUUGCAUUUUUAAACAGUUCCCUUGGCGAUUGCUAUCGUUGGGAUUUUAAAUGCCCCUGAAGGCCCUAGUCUUAAAGGCCUGGUCCCCAGGCGGUCUUUUAGAGGCAGGGUCCAGCAGGAGGGCUUCAGGCCAUGGGGCAUGCUGUGUAAGGGGACCGUGAGACCAGGGGCCUUCCUCCUGCUCUGUGUGCUUACUCAGCCUGGGGUAAGUGGUCCUGCUGCGCUGUGUUCUCAGGACACGCUGCCUUGCCCCAGGCCCAGGUGGACAGAUGGUGGACCACAACCUCCAAAAUGUGAACCAAAAUAAACCUUUUCUCUUUAGAAGUUGAUUGUCCUGGGUGUCAUUCUAGUAACAGAGAGCUGACCAGCACAGUGAUCUCCUGGCCAGUGGUCUAGGGAGGUUCUGAGGUGCAUGCCCAGCGCCCCAGAGGCUUUCUCCCCUGCGGGAGCCAGGACCCGGCUGUUUUCAUAGUGACUUUACAUGCCUGACACUGGUACAGACUGACUAAUAUUUAAUAAUCUUAAUCUGGGGAUGCAGCUCAGUGGUAGGAGGCUUGCCAAGCAUUCACGAAGCCCUGGGGCAGAAGGAAGGAAGCUUUUCAUUUGUUUAUGAUCCCCCUAUCUCUAGUGCUCAAGAAAUAUUGUCUAAAUUAUGCCUAUCUUGCCUUUCCCUCAAGGCAGAAUUUCACAAUUGAUUCCAGAGCAGGGUAACAGCUGUGGCAAAGAGACACAUCAGUCACCUCACUAUGGUGACGUCAUGGGCCAAGCCUCUGGGAGGGAGCAGGGGACCUGGAGAGUCGUCUAGAGGAGAUAGGAAGGGCCUUGGGGGGAAAGGGGCCAUCUGCCUGGUGGAGGAGCUGGGGAGAAGUGCCGGCCCCCAGACCCCAGUAGAUGGUCUACUUUUAUCCACUGCAGUCCCCCACUUGAGUCAGUGAAGCCAUGGAGAGGGUUCAGGUAGAGCUGACGGUGACCGUCCAGCGCCUGCCAUCCGUGUUGCUGUGCGGUGAUCUCCGCUGGAACCCCGCAGGCGCAGGCCGCAGAGCGGACCUGGAGCUCCCCAUGGACUCCCUCGCCUGCUCCUGCACCUGCUCCCCCACUGUUUACUUGCACCUCUAGUUUUUCGUUCCGAGCCCAUUUCUUUGUUUAGUCCCCAAUAAACCUUCUUUUAUUGAUUUCCAUUUAUAAUUUCCAAGGAAUUAGCAGCCUUAAUGUCAAUUUCAAUUUCCAAAGUUGGUAGCGAUUGAGAAAAGUGCUUUCCUCGGGUCGAUACUUCUCCUGACUUGAUUUGGAGCUGUUAACAAUGACCUGCGUAUGAUUUCAUUGGGAAGAGUAGCAGGGACCAACAGAGGGCAAUCUGUGGAUAUGAACCUGCUGUUUCUCCCUGACACAGGUCUUUAUGGAAAGGCCGAGUGCUCAGCGUCAGAAGGUGGCCCUUCCAUACUGCGUCCCCACUGGCCACUAAGCUCAUUGUCACAUCACCAGCAGCCAGCCCCAGUGGGCAGGAGGCACUUCAAGGACUCGUUCUGCUGACCACGUAUCGACACUCACUUCCCUCUCGCUGAUCUCAAAUCGACACUCUGCUGCCCAUUUCAGCAGUUUUCUCAGCAUUAUAAGCAGUUCACUGUCACUAGUCGACUUAUUGGGGUCCCCUGUCUUAGGGGGGUUGUGCUCCCAACAGGGCAGCCAGUCACUCCCUGCACUGCUGCCCUCUGACCCUGGGAGGAGCCUUCUCCAUCCUACAUUGCUCCCAAGACCCCGGCCCCUGCCUCAGGGCCAGCACAGCAGAGGAUGGGGGAGGUGUUGGCAGAAUGAGGUUGUCCUGAAGGGUUAGAACAAUGAGAGGGGGUUUAAGGGAGAAGACAAAGACUGUGCACAGUGCAGAGCAGAACGGCCUCCAGGUCCAGGAAGAAGGCUCUAGGGAAAGGCAAGACCCUGCCAGCUCCCACUCUCCUGGAGACAGCCUCGCCUCCUCAGCACCUGGGACUGUCGCCAGACCACGCCCCGGGGUGCCGAGCACUCUGGGCUGUGCGGGCUCACCCCAGCAAGGCCCCUCGCCCCCCUCCCCAGCCUGUCUCUUUCCAUCCAGCUGGCACUGCCCGGUAGAACAUUUACACACACGCACACGCACACACACUCCCAGUUCAACCAACAGAGUCAAAAACCUGGAAGGUGCAAACCCUGUCCUAGGACUCCACACCUCAAGACCAGGAGUACCUGUGUCAGGCCCGAGUGCCACCCGCCUUGGCCACUGUGGAAGUUUUCACCCACCACAACCACCCAAACCCUUCAGAUUAUGUCCCUUUGAACCAGCCAGGAGUAAGGAAUAGGAUCAUUUCUGAGCCAUCUGGCAGCUUCAUUAACCUCACAAAGACUUGAGUAAAGGCCUAGGAGACAGCACCCCCGCCCCCCCUGCAGCUGGAGGCCAAGGAGAGGGGUGGAAAAUCAGGGGAUGAAACGAGAUUGUUCCUUCACUUACACUAGGGCUCUACCCCAGUCGCCCACCCCUGCUCUCCCUGCCAGGAACACUGAGUGUUCUGCAAGCUUCUGGGCUGAUUGGCUCCAGCACUGCUUUAUGAAGACGUGGCACCCAGCUGCAAAACCUCUCUAUGUCAUCUAUACUUUUGGCUCCUCUAUGGAGGUUGUGUCUCAAAAGUAGUACCAUCUGACUUUUUCUUUGCAGAAUAGCCUCAGUGUGAGUUUUUGUUUUUUGUAUUUUUUUUUUAGAGAGAGAGAGAAUUUUAAUAUUUAUUUUUUUUAGUUUUUGGUGGACACAACAUCUUUGUUUGUAUGUGGGGCUGAGGAUCGAACCUGGGCUGCACGCAUGCCAGGGGAGCGCGCUACCACUUGAGCCACAUCCCCAGCCCGAGCUUUUUUCUUUUUUUUUUUCAAGAAAAUACUACCAUCGUAUAGCUAGACGAUUGAUAGAUGGUUGAUUUAUUCAUUGAUUGAUGGUGAAUAGAGAGAGACGAUAGGAAGGUGGAUGGGUGGUGAUGAGUCAGUCUGUUGAUAGAUGGCUUAAUGACAGUCACUCUCUCCGAACCUAACACCUUCCAGCUGUUCUCUUUGCAGGCACCUGAGCCUUGCAGCCAUCUGAGAGUUGAAGAUGGGCCUCCUGCUUUCAUCUUCAGACUCUGCUGUUCCAUCACACUGGGAGGAGAUGCUGCAUUGACAACUUCAUCUGGGACCUCAGACCCACGUGUUCCAAGGAAAGUCCACCGGAGAAUGUGAUGAGCCCAUGUGGACCCUUGGAAGCAGCAGCAGGAACAGCUGUCUUCUGAGGCCCCUGCCAAGGGGCCUGAGAUUCAUGCACCAGAGACCUAAAGUAGAGAUUUCUCACCCACCCUGCCGUGAACCUUCCAAGUCACCAUAUGGCGCUUCCUGUUCUCCUGUGAGCCCCUCCCAUGAUGGUCCCUGGUGGGGAGGCCACAGCCCUAGGAAGGUUUGAGAACAGAGUCGUAGAAUGGAUCCAAGAACAAACGGUAUGGCCAAGACACAGAUGUGCUCCUGCACCCUUCCAGCAGACCCUCACACCAGCCCAGGCUGGACCCAAAAGGCCUGAGCAGUCCUCUUCUCUUUCGAGGGGGGUUUAGGAUAGAUGGCUCUGUCAGAGUCUUUCUCACGGUUUGGGAAUAAACAUACUUUCUCAGUACCCUCAAGCAGGAAAAUCUAAAGCAAGCAAUGCAAAAGCAAGUAUCAAAGACUCCAACAAUACUUCCUGAUGAACAACUUCCACGAAUUUUUCAGACCUGCUUUCUUUGCCUGAUAUAUCUGAGUUUUCUGCCUGAGGGUGAAAAAGCUGUCACCAAUGCAGUGUCCUUGAUCAAUUACCCUGCAACAGAAACCACAAAACCACAAGCUCACCCCAUCCUGGAGAAAGGAAGGGAACAUGUCACCAUUUCUACUUAUAUUAGGAUAUGGUUCCACAUAUCUUUGUUACCUGCUUGAACCUCCCUUAAGAAGGAAAAGAAGGAGAUCAUUUGCCUCAGAAACUGCUAAAUGUAAGGAAAAGGCCCUAUCAGUGGUCAAAUUCCAUCCAGAUGACAUACUUGGCCCAGUGGUGCCUUGAAUUUUAAAGCAUUUCAGAAGGAGCAGCAGUUCACAUAAGAGUUUUCUCUCUGGCUGUGGGUGUAGCAUGCCCUAGAAGCCGUGUUGGUGCAGGGUCACACUGGGGAGUCCCUGGAACCAUGCAGUCGGCCCCUCACGUGAGAGAAGAUCCCUCUGCCCUCCCGCAGGGCUGGGGAACACAUCUUCUGAGCAUGGCAGGGCAGCUUGGCUUUCCAGACUCAGGACAGUUCACACCAAGCAUGGGGCAAAAAUAACCUCGAUUUUUAUAGUCUAGUAUUUUUUUUCCAAAGCCUUGGCCCAUAAUCUUAUUAAAUGUAACGGUUCAAAAUAAGUUUCUCUGGGAAACUUUGAAAACUAGGCAGCAAGAAAGCCACCGACGAAGUCUGACAUGGUUCCUCUGCUGACCCCCUGGAAGUCGAUGUUCCCAGUCCCCCUCUCCGGGAAGGGAUGUUUCCUUGAUCUCUCUGCCUGAAUGAGGACAGACAGCCACACUUAGCUUGUUGGAAACUCAGCGAGCUCCUGAGUCUCUGUGAACAACGACCCACCUGUUGUCUCAGUCCGCAGACGGCCUCUGCUCUGGGCAGAAGAUGUGGCAGAUCAUGGCAGAAGAGUAUGGCGGAGGAAAGUGGCUCAGAACAGAGCACUGGGUAGGGGAGACAGAGAGAGAAACUCUCCUCGCCACGGACAAAAUAUAUACCCGUAAGACAGCUCCCAGUGGCCCACCUCCGCCAGCUGUUACCGCUGUUUACCGGUGAGGAGUCCUUGCUUCCCCGAAUGCUGAAGUAUAACACCAGAGAAGCAGCAGAGGCAAGGGUAGAGUGGACAGUGGAAGCUUUAUUAAAGGACAGCAGAAGAGACUUCUCCCCGGAGGAAGAAGGGGGCCCGGAAGGCGGAAUCUGUGGAAGGGGGAGUCUUCCCUGUUUUAUAGCUAAGAUCUUCCUUCAGCUUGCCCACCCUCCUGACCUUUGUUUCCCGUUAUCCUGAGUGAUAGAAUGCAGGUGGGAAGGCCCAAAGGUGGGAGGGAGAAGGGCUGGAGGAGUAAUCUGGGCAGGAAGGGCCUGUUUGCUGGGAGCUGCUUCAUUAACAGUUCCUUAGGAUGGGCUCCGGGCCUUGGGGACGUUAACAUUUCAAUUUCCCCAAAUGCUACUCUGGUUUCCUGGACUCCUGCCAUUCUCUAUAACGGCCUCCAUUUUCUUUUUCUUACUGGAUAUUAGACCUGAUUUACCUAACUGCACUAACUACCUAUCUGUAAAUCUGGCUUCACAGCCACACCCUAUCUGCCUAGAGUUACCACCCAGUUAAUCCCUGUCAGGGUAAGGAUUAAUUCACUGAUUUAAGGCUCUCAUUUGCCGCAGUCUGGCUGGGCACAAAUGCCGCAGUCUGGCUGGGCACAAAAUCACGAGCCACCACACAGCUUGUAGAUUCAAACAGCAACUCUUUAUUCCCGAACUCACACCAGCCGUCUACAAUCACGUUCUGGGGAAAUCCACGUUCUCUUCCCAAAUCCACCUCCACUGGGCUUCUAUCUCCAAAAUAUACUGUCUGAAUCCCGUGAGAACUCAAGGGGAACUCAGGCAGCAGGAUACGCCCUAUUCCCAGCAGGAAUAAUCUUAAACCUUAAACCUGGAACCUAAACUGGGAACGCCCUAAACACGAUUAUCUUAAAACCGGGAACACCCUAAUCUGCCUUGGUCCUUGAGCAAGGUCACGUACAUUCAAUGUCACUGCAACAUGGGGUACGCUGGCAAGGAAAUUGUCAUACCUACUUGGCUAAUGGCUCCCAGCAUUCAUUACCCAGUCAUUUCUCCUCUGAACCUUCUUGCAUUGUCUCACACAUGAGGGAAACCGUAACACGGCCUUUGCCCGGGCUGUGUCCCUGUAGACAGCCCUCUGACAGCCCUAGCCCUGCCCAUUCCACCCCUGCAUGUCCAGCAUGCCACCCACCUGGCCCUCCUUCUCCAGAGCACUCUCCAGGCUUUAACAUGCGUCCGUCACUAUGCCAACACGGUUCUCACUCUUGGUCAUUUAUUAUCCUCCUCCCUGGCCUCUCUGACCCCAGUGUCUGUUCCUUGUGGUGGAGGGUUUUUGUGUGUCCUUCUCACUGACCUAUCCCCAGGUGAUGAGCACACUAGGUAUUCAAUUACAUGUUGGGUGAACAAAGUUUUGAGGAGGGACAUCAGAGCAUCAGGUUUACACUUAAAACCACUUACUCUGGCUGUGACCACAGCCCUGGACUUUCCCACUGAAGGGUCAGUUUGUGGAGGCUGGUGACAAAGCUGCCACCUCAGUCCAGAUGUGACAGCAGGGCUGGGUCAGGUGUGUGGAGGCGAACAACGGCAGGCAGAUUGGGCCACUCCAGGUUCGGGUAGAAACUCCAGCAGGGCAGGAGAGUGGUAAGGACACCUUGGCCAGUGCUGGUGGCAGACAGAAGCAAGACAGAUGCGAGCUGAGCCCCACUGUGGGCUUGGGCCAUGUUGCUGGCCUCAGCAGGCUGGUGUCCAGCAUAGACUUAGGCAAUGCCAGCAUUUUUUUUUUUUUUUUUUUUUUUGGCCACUGGUUGUGGUUCUCAAAGCAGAUUCCUUUUGUCUCACCAUGGAUAGAAAAUCUCCAGCGACUCAAUCGACUGAGAAGUCUGAUGUCCCAGGCUGCUGCCCACAGCUGACCAGGAGUGAGAAAGCAUCCCGUCCAGUAGCCCAGGAGCGCAGGUUGCAUUCCUGCCCUUCCUCCAGGUGACCAGAGCACUGCUGGUGUCCAGGGACAUGUCAUCCUACUGAAGAGGAGAACUGGGCCUUUCUCCUCCCAAGAGGCUGCACAGGUACUUGGUUAUGAAAAGCAGAAUGUGUUGAUUUCUUCCAGGCUAUCAGUUGCUCUCGGUGGAGACGUUGCUUUGGUAACUGCUCCGUCUUGGGAUUUCCCAGCCACCACUGGUGAAUUAGAGCCACACUCUCACAACUCAGGUGAGCUAGAUCCUAUUAACGGGCCUGUCUUCUCGCCCCUCCCUAGCUGUGGUAGCCAGAACCUCUUGUCCCGACGUUUGUGAAUGUGGGAGAGUUGGUUUCCUUUCCGACACAGUUCUGACUCACCGGGGCCCUACCCCCUCCGCCCCAGUUCUUCCACACGGUAUCUGAGCGCAGUGGCCAUCUGCAGCGGGGUCUCCACUGUGUACCCCAACUCCACUCUCACAACUGCACCCCAUUAGUCUUGCAUGUCAAGGUGUCAGCCCACCCUCUCCCUCCCUGUGCCUGUCUAGAAUCCUCUGUCACUCCCACUUGGAGUGAGGGAGCUUUGCUGUCCAGAGGGACAAGCUGGUCCCACCCCGUCCACCACAGUGUCUGUGCUCCCGGGUACCAGCGGAUCCCACUGAAGUCUCUGAAAGCCUCCUCUGCAGCUGCUGGCCAUGGGCUUUGUUCUGUGCUGUGAGCCUCCUAUGGCCACAGCCCAUUGCUGGUCUGGCGCCCUGAGCAGGCGGGCCAGGUGCGUACCUGUGGGAGUUCUCUGGGCCCCUCCAUCCUGGCCAGGGCAGAGCUGAAGACCACAGAGGCUGGGCAGGCGCGUGGCUGUGAGAGAAAUUUUGAGCCUUCAAAAGGCAGGAGGGAGGCACCUAGAACCCCCGCCUCUCUGGGUCAGGACUCAGAACGGAACCUAGCUAGUUAGGAGCCCUGGGCCUUCUUCCUGCCAUCUGGUGAGCCUGGGGAGCAGCACUGCACAGCAGAGGGACUGUCCUGGUGGUGGUGACGAUGACUGUGACCCCGCCAGUCACGCCUCUUAGGCCUGGCACUCUCUCCUUUGUGAUGGUGAUUGCAAGUGUGUUUGAUGUGUUUAUGUGUGGGCAUGUGCUGUGUGUGUGUAUGCGUGGGCAUGUGCUAUGUGUGUGCACAUGUGUGGCCAUGUGCUGUGUGUGUGUAUGUGUGGGCAUGUGCUGUGUGUGCAUAUGUGUGGGCAUGUGCUGUGUGUGUGUAUGUGUGGGCAUGUGCUAUGUGUGUGCACAUGUGUGGGCAUGUGCUGUGUGUGCGUAUGUGUGGGCAUGUGCUGUGUGUGCGUAUGUGUGGGCAUGUGCUAUGUGUGUGCACAUGUGUGGGCAUGUGCUAUGUGUGUGCACAUGUGUGGCCAUGUGCUGUGUGUGUGUAUGUGUGGGCAUGUGCUGUGUGUGUGCAUAUGUGUGGGCAUGUGCUGUGUGUGUGUAUGUGUGGGCAUGUGCUGUGUCUGUGUCUGUGUGGGCACGUGCUAUGUGUGUGCACAUGUGUGGGCAUGUGCUGUGUCUGUGUCUGUGUGGGCAUGUGCUAUGUGUGUGCACAUGUGUGGCCAUGUGCUGUGUGUGUGUAUGUGUGGGCAUGUGCUGUGUCUGUGUCUGUGUGGGCAUGUGCUAUGUGUGUGCACAUGUGUGGGCAUGUGCUGUGUGUGUGUAUGUGUGGGCAUGUGCUGUGUCUGUGUCUGUGUGGGCAUGUGCUGUGUGUGUGCACAUGUGUGGUUAUGUGCUGUGUGUGUGUAUGUGUGGGCAUGUGCUAUGUGUGUGCACAUGUGUGGGCAUAUGCUGUGUGUGUGUAUGUGUGGGCAUGUGCUGUGAGUGUGAAUGUGGGUGUGAGUGUGUACUGAGACUUUAUGUGUGAGUGCACCUGUGUGUAUGUGUCUGUGUGUGCACGUGUCUCUAUGUGUGGGUGUGUGCGGUGUGAGUGUAUGUGUGUGAGCAGGACUGAACACAUGUGAGUGUGAGUGUGUGUGUGUGUGUGAGUGUGUAAGGCAGGUCUUUGGUCUGACCUCUGCUCACUGUUUAUGACACCCUCGCAGCUUGGAUGUUAGCAGUCAGGUUUCUUCUGUUACCGCCCAAGCUCAGAGACAUGGCUCUCACGAUGGUGUCUCACUGAAUAUGCUUCUGUCCUGGGUGGAACCCCCUCCCCGUCUCAGGGAAGACUCCUCCAGUGCACCCCAUCCUUGGUGAAGUGGUAAAUUUUAAGUCACGUGUAUUUUGCUCCAAGCAGAAGGAAACAUGUCGAGUUGCCCUUACUCUCCAAGCACAGCUAAAGCAUUCCUGCCCCUUUUCAACCGUUGCUAUGGAAAUUGACCCUUGUGUGAAACCUCGUGGGCAAUGUACCCCACACACAAAGUGCCGCAGAGGAGUGCUGGCCAACUCAGGCAGUCACAAGUUGCUCCUAGACGCCGCACCACUGGCCCUCCUGAACUGCAGGCCACGCAGGGGCACUCUGGAGACUCCACAGAAAGGAGGCCCUGGAGGCCCCCGAUGCCCUCGCUGCUGUCAGCAGCCCCCACCCCAGCAGUGCUGAGCGCCUGGCGUCCCUCCCACAUGGAGGGUUGUGCCUCCGGAGGUCGCAAGGACCUCAAGGACACACACCCUGGUCUCAGCAGACAGCUGGGCCACUGUGGUCCGCGGAGAAAAAUGGCGAAAUUCGAGAUUCAGCAGGAGGAGGCCAGAAGGAGACGGGAGCGUUGAUGAAGAGCACCCACGUGAGGACUCGGCAGCCCGCACCCGACCACUCGCCUGUUUCAUCUCCUGUCUUCAAAGAGGCGCCAGGACGUGGGAGAGGAUGAAAGGGAAAGUGAUGAAAGAAAAUGGCACCACAGAGGCUUGAAGGGCUGAGACGGCGGAGGGGAGGCUGGGAGCCGGCUGGUGGCAGCCUGCAAGUCAGCUGCUCCCGUCUCAGGGACCCCACGCUCUCCUCCGCGCUCUGGAAGACAUGGCUCUAAAGAAGGGGGUGUGGCCCUGAUCCGGGUCUUCCCAGUGCACAAGCAGCUCUAGAGUCCCCAUCUCUGCACCUGCUGGGAAUCAGGGGCAGACAGGAGCGUGCAGGGCCCAGCCUCCCUCCUCACUCCUGGGCACUCAGACAAAAAGGCCUGUGUGUGUCCAAAGGGACAGGUGAAGGCCCACGAGGGCCCCUGAGCUGUGGACAUGGUCCUGCACCAUCAUGGAGAUGCGGGUUUAGCUGUGACAGCUUGUGAAUGGGCUGGAGUUCCCCUUGGCCCAGACCAGGGAGUCCCAGAGGAAACCUAUGCAGCUGUUCCCUGAUCUCCCGCCUCCUGCGGAGUCUUGUUUGCUCCCUGCAGGACAUUUGCACACUCUUUUCACACUGAGGCCAGGGAAGGUCUAAAGUCACAAGAGCUGGUUCCCAGACCAGGCUUCUGGCUCCAAGUUCCAGAACCUUCCACAAGUACACACUGACUGUUCCUCAUCAGUUCAGUCCAUCUGUCCUGACACGGCAGUGAGUCCAGCUGGGGCUGAGGAGUGAAGACAGUUUAAGGUGACUCAGAGAAACUCACUCCUCAGUGAAGACCUGUCCAGACGACAAACGGCUUUGGAACAACUUAGACGUGGAGGUGUGGGUAUUCUCGGGGGCCUUUCUCCUGCAAGUCCCAGUGUGGUCUUCUACCAUUGUGUGGAAAUAUGACGAGUGGUCACCUUGCAUCCUGUGCUUUUGGGGUACACUUUUCAAGUUUCUGUGUUCAAACAUUUUGAAAAUCAGAAGUGAUCACGUGUCCUGAGUUUCAGUUUGAAAGCCACAGUGUGCAAUAGUCACUUCCCUCAGAUUUCUACUGUGGAAAACAAAGCACGUAACCCUCAAGGUCAGGGACAAAAGCAAAGGCCCCCACCCAGACCCUGACCACAGCUGAGGGCCACAUACCUCUCCCUCCUGCUCAGACAGCCCUGGCUCAAACGUCCUUGAGACACCUCCACAGGUUCAAGACUGAGCAGGGAAGUGGACCCCCAUAGGCCAGAGCAUGUAGAAGCCAAUGCUGAGCCAAGUGUCCCCAGACCUCGAGGCAGAGACUACAGCAGGUGCUAGUGCUGCAUCUUCAGGAAGCACCGGGGCCAGGGUGGCCAAACUAGAAGAUGGUAGAAGAGAGAAAUUCCUAGAGUGGGGCUGAGGGCCUUCCUCCAGGCAAACCCCUCCGUCCCCAGGGUGCAGCUGGCUCUGUUCUACAGGGCCAGUGACACUUAUGACAAGCCCCUGCUGCCACCUCCCUCAGGAGAAGCCACCGGCUGUCCAAGGCCAAGACAGCAUGGCACCCCUCCUGUCUCCCUGGGUUUCUGUGACUGCACAGCGGGCAUCCUGUACUGCUGAACCCCUGUGCUGGGGCAGGAGGCACUGCCAGGGUCCCAACAGGCCCUGUGCAUCACAAGACCUGGGCCCCAGGUUCUGCUCCCUCGGGUGUUGGCUGAGGGUCCUCCUGCUUCAGAUGCAGCCAUGUCUGGGUCCCCCUCAGUUGGGCUGCAGAAGGGGUGGACAGCAGGGCAGGGAGGGGGGAACAGUUUACCCCCUGAACAACUCCUGCACCUCCAGAUACUCAAAGAACAGCUUCUGAAUCAAGUUUAAAAACAGCUGCUCUUCUGAUGAUUUAAGUGAUGUCCUGAGUAUUUGCCUUGAGUGCACAGAGGGCCUGGGUGGGCUGGGACUUUGCCCAGGCAGGACCCUGGGAGACAAGGCUGCUGCACUCCCAGGAGGAGGUGUGCUUUGCCUCUCAUCUCAUGUGAGGAGAAUCCAGGAGGUUUGGCAAUGUUGGCAGUGUCUGUAAAUGUUUGCAACAUCAUGUGACAAGGCCAGUUCAGGUGUCUACAAACUGCUGUGGCCCGAGCCCCCUGUGAUUGCCAUGCAGAACCUCGUUAAUCCUGCCACAGGUUGAGAUGUGUCCUCUGUAAGCCAACCAGACAUACAACCUGGAGUUGUUUCUAUCAUCAGAAGAUCAUUUUAACUAUAAUCCAUCAGGAUACAUUUUGAAAACUGGCCUCUGAUGAAGGAUUGGAUGGUAAUGCAGUGCCUGCUUUGAUCUGGAUAAAAUUUAACUUGCCUUAAUAAUCUUUUUCAAUUCCCAUCAAUGUUUCUCUGAGAAUGUUCUGUCUACUGUGAGUGUUGUUGAAACAUAAAACAGAAUUCACUGAGGCUGACAUUUCCCCCUCUGCUCAACUGGGCCAAGAAGCAUCUCAUUUGUUG